CCUACGGGUGGCUGCAGUCGAGGAUCUUCGGCAAUGGGCGCAAGCCCGACCGAGCGACGCCGCGUGCGGGAUGAAGGCCCUCGGGUUGUAAACCGCUGUCGUGGGGGAGGAAAGCCUUCGGGCUUGACCUAUCCCAGGAGGAAGCACGGGCUAAGUUCGUGCCAGCAGCCGCGGUAAGACGAACCGUGCGAACGUUGUUCGGAUUCACUGGGCUUAAAGGGCGCGUAGGCGGGCCGCGGGGUCGUGGGUGAAAGCGUCCGGCUCAACCGGACAAUUGCCUGCGAUACCGGCGGCCUCGAGGGGGGUAGGGGCGGUGGGAACUUCCGGUGGAGCGGUGAAAUGCGUUGAGAUCGGAAGGAACGCCGGUGGCGAAAGCGCACCGCUGGGCCCCCCCUGACGCUGAGGCGCGAAAGCCAGGGGAGCAAACGGGAUUAGAUACC
Molecule: ribosomal RNA, 440 nt
Filed under: uncultured bacterium
Lineage: Bacteria
Description: bacterial SSU rRNA
Rfam family: Bacterial small subunit ribosomal RNA
Source: RNAcentral